AAGGGCUUGAGAUCAGACUUGGUAUUUUGUAUGUCUUGCUUUCGGGUAGGGCCUCUGCAGUUUAUCGGGCCAGCAUCAGUUUGGAUGGUAGGAUAAUGACAUUGGAACGUAGCACUGCUUCGGUGGUGUGUUAUAGACUUUGUUGAUACUGCCUGUCUAGACUGAGGACUGCGUCUUUUGACUAGGAUGCUGGCAUAAUGAUCCUAAGCCA
RNAcentral lists this ribosomal RNA (211 nucleotides) under Scheffersomyces ergatensis. RNAcentral's name for it is "partial large subunit ribosomal RNA". The record is from RNAcentral. Lineage: Eukaryota; Fungi; Ascomycota; Pichiomycetes; Serinales; Debaryomycetaceae.